Sapajus apella (tufted capuchin) is the source of this 138-nucleotide long non-coding RNA. RefSeq lists it as uncharacterized. The record is from RefSeq and is a predicted model, not a curated record. The transcript has 3 exons. NCBI's taxonomy places the organism in Eukaryota, Metazoa, Chordata, Mammalia, Primates, Cebidae.
GCAAUAGAAUAUGUUUUUAUGGCCAGGUGCAGUGGCUCACACCUGUAAUCCCAGCACUUUGGGAGGCUGAGGGGGGGUGAAUCACAAGAUCAGGUGUUCCAGAACUACCUGGCCAAUAUAGUGAAAUCCUGUCUCAUU